Molecule: long non-coding RNA, 1860 nt
Organism: Heterocephalus glaber (naked mole-rat)
Lineage: Eukaryota; Metazoa; Chordata; Mammalia; Rodentia; Bathyergidae
Source: Ensembl
CCCGCACCGUAGCGCGCGCGUCGGGCCGCCCCUCUGGCACGCCCUCCCCGGCUUCACCUUGGGCCCGCGGCGAGGUCUCGGCCCCUGCGGCUCGCGCGCUGCCCGGGCCGGACGGCGGCGCCUGGCGGGAGCGCGCCCGGGGGGGACGGCGCAGGCGUGGAGUUUCCGGACGCAGCGUCCGUCCCGCUGACUUCCCGCGUGGGGCCCGAGUUUCCGAGCGGCUCACCCACCGCUUCCUGCCGGGUGGCUUAUUGUUCUCUUCCAGCUGCCUGGGCAGGUGGCCGCGCCCCGCUUUUCGGCGUACUUGCUCCGCGCAUUUCGCUUCCGGGGUGCUGACACCCACAGCAGCUGGGUCUUAACCCAGGCCUUUAGUUUUCACCCUUUGCGUAGGUACUGGAGAUGCCUUUGGCGGUGAAGGUUUGCACCCCUUGCGCGGACCGCCUGCGAGUGGCUGCUCCCUGCGCAGGCGGAGCCAGCUCUCAGCAAAUUGUGGGCUCCUGUGCUUGGCCAGGACAGAGCACAAAGGAAACGAAACGCGCGUCUCCAGCAGUGCAGUCGCAGGCGGGACGCCGUCUCCUCCCCAGCUUACCAGCUGGUUGGAGCUUCCACUCCUGCCCUGGUGGUGUCACUGAAUUGCUCUGGCGGGGCUGGAACUCUUGAUACUCCUGCUCCAACUCCCAGAGUGCUUGGGAUUACAGAAAAGUUCAAAUCAUCCCACUUUUCCUAGCACAAGAAUUAUAAUAUCCACAUUUGGUGAUACAAAUACCGACAGAAGGAUGAAUAAAGAGAAAUGUGGAUAGAAUGACAUCACCAGGAAUAGGGCUCCUUCUGCACAGGUAUUGAAUGUAUUCUUACUCAGAACAAAAAGUUGAAGGAACUACUCGGGUCCAUGUUGUUUCCUCACAAGAGAGAUCAAUUCAUAAAAGAUUUUCUCAAAGAUUAAAAUUAUAAAAAUCAUUAAUGAGACAGUAACUUUUCAAACUGUGUAUUUAUUUCAGCAUUGGUUAGUACUAAAUUCUCUGCUAACAAAGAUAAAUUAACAUUCUGCCCACCCCUUACCUGAACUUCCUCAUUUCUCACUGAUAUUUGUUUUCUUACUUUGUCAGGCUUUGCAACACCUACAUACUAUUAAAUCUAUCCUUUCCCUAAGGAUUUGUCUUAAUGUCAGUGUUUAAAUGUAUGUGUUCACUGCUUUCUCUUAGACUUCUUCAUUUUGACUUGGUUCUGUGAAUCUCCUUGCGUAUCAGCCUUUCCUUGUGUUCACACUACCCUCAGUGAUCACAGUAGUGUGGAUUGGUGAAUUGGGCUGGGUUCAUCAGGGAGGCUCUGUGGCUCUCACUUGCUCCCUUACGCAAUUGCCGUUGACAGGGGGCUUGGUUGGGGCUGUAUGGCUACGAUGUGGGUGAGCCCAAGGCACCUUUCAGCCUCCUGGCAGGCUCGCUAGGGCCUGUUCUCCAGCAGAGUAAGAAUGGGAGUUGCAAAUCCUCUUGUGGGUAGGCUUGGAACUCACAUAGUAUCCCUUCUGCUUACAUAGUAUCCCUUCUGCAUUAAUUUAUUGGCCGAGCAGAUCUUAAAUCCAGGGUAGGUUCCAAAGACAGACUACCUUUUGAUGGGAGGAGCUACAAAAAACUCUCCAUUUGCAAUCUUUCAUGAUGGCCUUAUAGCCCUUGAGUUAUUUCAUGUUUGAAAAUCCCUUCUUGAUAUAUUUAAACUUAAACUAUUCUUGAGUCUUCCUUUUUGUCAAAAGAAAUCUUUUUUUCUCUUCAGAACUUUGUCAACAUUGCUUUUAUGGAAAAGUCUGAAGCUAGUUUGAUUUUAACCUUCUUAAGAUUUUUUUGAGGCAUUCUAGACCAACCUGGG